RNAcentral lists this ribosomal RNA (477 nucleotides) under uncultured bacterium. RNAcentral's name for it is "bacterial SSU rRNA". It matches the Rfam family "Bacterial small subunit ribosomal RNA", at positions 20 to 507 of the family's 1533-position model. The record is from RNAcentral.
CCGUUCAGGAUGAACGCCAGCGGCAGGCCUAAUACAUGCAAGUCGAACGGUGUCUUCGGACAUAGUGGCGCACGGGUGCGUAACACGUAUGCAACCUACCUUACAUUGGGGGAUAGCCUUUCGAAAGGGAGAUUAAUACCGCAUAAGACAGUAACUAGGCAUCUAGUAGCUGUUAAAGAUUUAUCGAUGUAAGCUGGGCAUGCGUCCAAUUAGCUAGUUGGUGAGGUAACGGCUCACCAAGGCAAUGAUUGGUAGGGGAACUGAGAGGUCAAUCCCCCACACUGGCACUGAGAUACGGGCCAGACUCCUACGGGAGGCAGCAGUAGGGAAUAUUGGGCAAUGGACGCAAGUCUGACCCAGCCAUGCCGCGUGCAGGAUGAAGGCGUUAUGCGUUGUAAACUGCUUUUAUACAGGAAGAAACGACUCUUGCGAGAGGCAUUGACGGUACUGUAUGAAUAAGCACCGGCUAACUCCGUG